RNAcentral lists this unclassified non-coding RNA (225 nucleotides) under Hevea brasiliensis (rubber tree). Lineage: Eukaryota; Viridiplantae; Streptophyta; Magnoliopsida; Malpighiales; Euphorbiaceae. The record is from RNAcentral.
GAAGCUCCCAUGUACAGAAGUGCAUUUUCAGAAAAGAGGGUAAAAACCAAUGCAACUAAACAGGAGACUAUGGCAGAUACCACAAACUAGAAUAAGUAAAAUGUACACCAGGAAGCAUUUCAACCCUAUAGCUAACUUCUACCAAGUAUUCAUGUGAACAACAUAUCAUAAAUUUACUCACCAGCAGUUACAAGAUGCAUCAUGGUAUCAUACAAGUAUUAAUGA